GCAUUAAUGGGGUAGUGGUAACCUGGGUCGUUGCCAUCUUGGUUCGGAUACGAGUAAAUUAUCUCGACCCGCCGGGGGUUCGAUUCCCUCUUAAUGCA
Non-coding RNA from Crucibulum laeve, 98 nucleotides. The record is from the annotation of a GenBank genome assembly. Lineage: Eukaryota; Fungi; Basidiomycota; Agaricomycetes; Agaricales; Nidulariaceae.